Molecule: transfer RNA, 73 nt
Filed under: Stegodyphus mimosarum
Lineage: Eukaryota; Metazoa; Arthropoda; Arachnida; Araneae; Eresidae
Rfam family: tRNA
About the family: Transfer RNA (tRNA) molecules are approximately 80 nucleotides in length. Their secondary structure includes four short double-helical elements and three loops (D, anti-codon, and T loops).
Source: Rfam by way of RNAcentral
GCUCUCGUGACCUAAUGGAUAAGGUAUCGGUCUCCUAAACUGAAGAUCGUGGGUUCGAGUCCCACCAAGGAUA